UGGGGAAUAUUGCACAAUGGGCGAAAGCCUGAUGCAGCAACGCCGCGUGAGUGAUGAAGGCCUUCGGGUUGUAAAGCUCUGUCUUCUGGGACGAUAAUGACGGUACCAGAGGAGGAAGCCACGGCUAACUACGUGCCAGCAGCCGCGGUAAUACGUAGGUGGCAAGCGUUGUCCGGAUUUACUGGGCGUAAAGGAUGCGUAGGCGGAUACUUAAGUCAGAUGUGAAAAUCCCGGGCUUAACUUGGGAACUGCAUUUGAAACUGGGUAUCUAGAGUGCGGGAGAGGAAAGUGGAAUUCCUAGUGUAGCGGUGAAAUGCGUAGAGAUUAGGAAAAACACCAGUGGCGAAGGCGACUUUCUGGACCGUAACUGACGCUGAGGCAUGAAAGCGUGGGGAGCAAACA
Molecule: ribosomal RNA, 402 nt
Filed under: uncultured bacterium
Lineage: Bacteria
Description: bacterial SSU rRNA
Rfam family: Bacterial small subunit ribosomal RNA
Source: RNAcentral